Molecule: unclassified non-coding RNA, 215 nt
Filed under: fungal sp.
Lineage: Eukaryota; Fungi
Description: partial internal transcribed spacer region
Rfam family: Eukaryotic small subunit ribosomal RNA (bases 1-46)
Source: RNAcentral
AAGUCGUAACAAGGUUUCCGUAGGUGAACCUGCGGAAGGAUCAUUACAUUCAGUAGCCCAGCUACUUGUUUACACCCUUGUUUUUUUGCGUACUUAUCGUUUCCUCGGCGGGCUUGCCUGCCGGUUGGACAACUUUAUAACCUUUUUAAAUCUUCAAUCAGCGUCUGAAUAAUAUACAAUAAUUACAACUUUCAACAACGGAUCUCUUGGUUCUG